GCAGAAGGGACUCUGUUCCAGGGAGAGUCUGCAUGGGUAAGGGGUAGUGACAUCCCAGGCAGACUCUUCUGUCCUUUGGAGAAGAAGUUCCAAGCUACCUCAUUCAGUGCUGUGGAUCACAGCUUACAGCUGGGUUGGCUCCCUUUUACCUGACCCUGUCAUGAGCCUCAACUUCUUUUGUGUGACUCUUUGUCUCCUGGGAGCAGGCCCCAUGGAUGCUGGAAUCACCCAGAAGCCAAGAUACCAUAUUACACAAACAGGAGACAAGAUGAUCCUGGAAUGUUGUCAGAAUAUGAGCCAUUUUGCAAUGUUCUGGUAUCGACAAGACCCGGGCCAGGGGCCAAGGCUGAUCCAUUAUUCAAGUGAUGUUAACAGCACUGCCAAAGGGGACAUCACAGAAGGGUACAGUGUCUCCCGAAAGAAGAUCGAGGAUUUCCCCCUGACCCUGGAGUCAGCCAGCACCAAGCAGACCUCUUUGUACCUCUGUGCCAGCAGUAAAUACACACUGCUGCACAGCCAGCUGCUCUCUGCACAAAAAGGGCAGCCAGAAGCAUGA
This is a non-coding RNA of Equus quagga, 556 nucleotides long. Lineage: Eukaryota; Metazoa; Chordata; Mammalia; Perissodactyla; Equidae. The record is from the annotation of a RefSeq genome assembly.